GCUUAGCCCUAAACACAGACAAUAAAAAACACAACAUUGUCCGCCAGAGAACUACAAGCGAAAAGCUCAAAACUCCAAGGACUUGGCGGUGCUCCACACCAGCCUAGAGGAGCCUGUCCUAUAAUCGAUACCCCACGUUAAACCUUACCGCCCCUAGCCAUUCAGCCUAUAUACCGCCGUCGUCAGCACACCUUAUGAAAGAAACAACAGUGUGCACAACAAUUAUAAAUUAAUACGUCAGGUCAAGGUGUAGCAUAUGAGGCGGAAGAGAUGGGCUACAUUUUCUACUACAGAAUAGACGAAAGGGGCAAUGAAACAUGCCCCCGAAGGCGGAUUUAGCAGUAAGACAGCCAAGAAAUGCUAUCUUAAAACCGCUCUGGAGCGCGC
RNAcentral lists this ribosomal RNA (387 nucleotides) under Chalcides polylepis. RNAcentral's name for it is "partial 12S ribosomal RNA". It matches the Rfam family "Bacterial small subunit ribosomal RNA", at positions 794 to 1384 of the family's 1533-position model. The record is from RNAcentral. Lineage: Eukaryota; Metazoa; Chordata; Lepidosauria; Squamata; Scincidae.